Molecule: ribosomal RNA, 486 nt
Filed under: uncultured bacterium
Lineage: Bacteria
Description: bacterial SSU rRNA
Rfam family: Bacterial small subunit ribosomal RNA
Source: RNAcentral
AUGAACGCUAGCGACAGGCCUAACACAUGCAAGUCGAGGGGCAGCACGAAUCAAGCUUGCUUGAUUUGGUGGCGACCGGCGCACGGGUGCGUAACAGGUGUGCAAUCUGUCCAUAAUCGGGGAAUAGCCCAGCGAAAGUUGGAUUAAUGCUCCAUGUGAGUUUUAGAGGCAUCUCUUUAAUUUGAAACGCAAGGAUUAUGGGUGAGCACGCUUCUGAUUAGGUAGUUGGUGAGGUAACGGCUCACCAAGCCGACGAUCAGUAGGGGUUCUGAGAGGAAGGUCCCCCACAUUGGAACUGAGACACGGUCCAAACUCCUACGGGAGGCAGCAGUGAGGAAUAUUGGUCAAUGGACGAAAGUCUGAACCAGCCAAGUCGCGUGAAGGAUGAAGGUUCUAUGGAUUGUAAACUUCUUUUGUCUGAGGGUAAAAAAGCGGACGUGUCCGUUCUUGCAAGUAUCAGACGAAUAAGCAUCGGCUAACUCCGUG